AAUGGAGGAAACUCUGACCCAGCCAUGCCGCGUGUGUGAUGAAGGCCCUAGGGUUGUAAAGCACUUUCAUUGGUGAAGAUAAUGACGGUAACCAAAGAAGAAGCCCCGGCUAACUUCGUGCCAGCAGCCGCGGUAAUACGAAGGGGGCUAGCGUUGUUCGGAAUCACUGGGCGUAAAGAGCGUGUAGGCGGAUAUGUAAGCUAGGGGUGAAAGCCCGGGGCUCAACCUCGGAACUGCCCUUAGAACUGCAUAUCUAGAAUCUCGGAGGGGAUAGGGGAAUUCCUAGUGUAGAGGUGAAAUUCGUAGAGACUAGGAGGAACACCGGUGGCGAAGGCGCCUAUCUGGACGAGUAUUGACGCUGAGACGCGAAAGCGUGGGGAGCAAACAGGAUU
RNAcentral lists this ribosomal RNA (392 nucleotides) under uncultured Gammaproteobacteria bacterium. Its description in RNAcentral is "bacterial SSU rRNA". It matches the Rfam family "Bacterial small subunit ribosomal RNA", at positions 370 to 779 of the family's 1533-position model. Lineage: Bacteria; Pseudomonadati; Pseudomonadota; Gammaproteobacteria. The record is from RNAcentral.